CCUACGGGAGGCUGCAGUGAGGAAUAUUGGUCAAUGGACGAGAGUCUGAACCAGCCACGUAGCGUGAAGGAUGACUGCCCUCGGGGUUGUAAACUUCUUUUAUAUGGGAAUAAAAUGUUCCACGUGUGGGAUUUUGUAUGUACCAUAUGAAUAAGGAUCGGCUAACUCCGUGCCAGCAGCCGCGGUAAUACGGAGGAUACGAGCGUUAUCCGGAUUUAGUGGGUGUAAAGGGAGCGUAGGUGGAUUGUUAAGUCAGUUGUGAAAGUUUGCGGCUCAACCGUAAGAUUGCAGUUGAAACUGGCAGUCUUGAGUACAGUAGAGGUGGGCGGAAUUCGUGGUGUAGCGGUGAAAUGCGUAGAUAUCACGAAGAACUCCGAUGGCGAAGGCAGUUCACUGGACUGCAACUGACACUGAGGCUCGAAAGUGUGGGUAUCAAACAGGAUUAGAUACCCUAGUAGUC
This 460-nucleotide ribosomal RNA is filed under the name uncultured bacterium. RNAcentral's name for it is "partial 16S ribosomal RNA". It matches the Rfam family "Bacterial small subunit ribosomal RNA", at positions 338 to 795 of the family's 1533-position model. The record is from RNAcentral.